This 439-nucleotide ribosomal RNA is filed under the name uncultured bacterium. Its description in RNAcentral is "bacterial SSU rRNA". It matches the Rfam family "Bacterial small subunit ribosomal RNA", at positions 39 to 473 of the family's 1533-position model. The record is from RNAcentral.
GAAUUCGAUUCAGGCCUAACACAUGCAAGUCGAACGGUAGAGGGGCAACCCUUGAGAGUGGCGAACGGGUGAGUAAUACAUCGGAACGUGCCCAGUCGUGGGGGAUAACGUAGCGAAAGCUACGCUAAUACCGCAUACGACCUGAGGGUGAAAGCGGGGGAUCGCAAGACCUCGCGCGAUUGGAGCGGCCGAUGGCAGAUUAGGUAGUUGGUGGGGUAAAGGCCUACCAAGCCUGCGAUCUGUAGCUGGUCUGAGAGGACGACCAGCCACACUGGGACUGAGACACGGCCCAGACUCCUACGGGAGGCAGCAGUGGGGAAUUUUGGACAAUGGGCGCAAGCCUGAUCCAGCCAGACCGCGUGCGGGAAGAAGGCCUUCGGGUUGUAAACCAAUGGUGUCAGGGAAGAAAUCUUCUGGGCUAAUACCUCGGGAGGAUGAC